RNAcentral lists this ribosomal RNA (113 nucleotides) under Danio rerio (zebrafish). Lineage: Eukaryota; Metazoa; Chordata; Actinopteri; Cypriniformes; Danionidae. The record is from RNAcentral.
GCCGGCAGCUAGCUCUCUGCAACUCACAUAGACACCCACUGAAGCUUAACAGGGCUGCACCCAGUCAGUACCUGGAUGGGAGACCACAUGGAAAAGCUAGGUUGCAGCCAGAA